AUGCGGGCAAUUGGCCACCAGCCUCGGGGGAAGAGACACAGGACCCUGCUCCCUGCAAUUUAUCAAAGCCUUGUUUUUUCCUUCACCCCUGAGCCUGACUUAAAGCGUUCCACCUCCACAGCAGCUAAGCCAGAUCAAUGCAACUCACCAGUCCUGUUUUUGCUCAAAGUACAUCAUAUGACACCAAGGUCACAUCUACUGAAGGAUCCUGAUAAAUACACAGCACAGGAAAUCCCAAGAAGGAAGAAAGUCGACUUUGUGGUGUCAAGGAUUGGAUCUGGACUCUGCUGGUGUGGAGCAGUUCUGUCAUUUCUCCAGCAGAGGGCGCAUUCUGCAUUCUUCAGAACUCAAGAAGCUCAAGUGUAGCAGACCUGAGAAACAGGGCUACCCUUUGAAGAGGAGAGAUGCAGUCUUUCUUUCUUUCUUUUUUUUUUUUUUUAAAGAUUUAUUUAUUUAUUAUAUGUAAGUACACUGUAGCUGUCUUCAGACACUCCAGAAGAGGGUGCCAGAUCUCGUUACGGAUGGUUGUGAGCCACCAUGUGGUUGCUGGGAUUUGAACUCCGGACCUUCGGAAGAGCAGUCGGGUGCUCCUACCCACUGAGCCAUCUCACCAGCCCCGAGAUGCAGUCUUUCAGUUCAAUAAUUAAAGGUCUAUUUAAAAAGCCAUGUUCGUUUUAGCUUUAUUAUUUCUGUGCUUUUGUGUGGAUUCAGACAUGUGUGCUACACUCCUAGCCCAAACUUCCAAUUUUUCUUUUUUUGACUUGUCAAGCCAGGGUUUCUUUAGUUCCAUCUUAGAACUGGACCUGUAGGCCAAGCUGGCCUCAAACUCAGAGAUCCACUUGCCUCUGCCCUCUCUAGUGCUCGGAUUAAAGUCCUGUGCUACCACCAGCCAGC
Molecule: long non-coding RNA, 894 nt
Filed under: Mus spicilegus (steppe mouse)
Lineage: Eukaryota; Metazoa; Chordata; Mammalia; Rodentia; Muridae
Description: lncRNA (ENSMSIG00000003315.1)
Source: RNAcentral